Molecule: ribosomal RNA, 497 nt
Filed under: uncultured bacterium
Lineage: Bacteria
Description: partial 16S ribosomal RNA
Rfam family: Bacterial small subunit ribosomal RNA
Source: RNAcentral
GAUGAACGCUGGCGGCGUGCCUAAUACAUGCCAGUCGAGCGAACAGACGAGGAGCUUGCUCCUCUGACGUUAGCGGCGGACGGGUGAGUAACACGUGGAUAACCUACCUAUAAGACUGGGAUAACUUCGGGAAACCGGAGCUAAUACCGGAUAAUAUAUUGAACCGCAUGGUUCAAUAGUGAAAGACGGUUUUGCUGUCACUUAUAGAUGGAUCCGCGCCGCAUUAGCUAGUUGGUAAGGUAACGGCUUACCAAGGCGACGAUGCGUAGCCGACCUGAGAGGGUGAUCGGCCACACUGGAACUGAGACACGGUCCAGACUCCUACGGGAGGCAGCAGUAGGGAAUCUUCCGCAAUGGGCGAAAGCCUGACGGAGCAACGCCGCGUGAGUGAUGAAGGUCUUCGGAUCGUAAAACUCUGUUAUUAGGGAAGAACAAAUGUGUAAGUAACUAUACACGUCUUGACGGUACCUAAUCAGAAAGCCACGGCUAACUACGUG